GGAAAAUUAGUUAAAAGAUAAUGUGUGCUUGUCGAGCACUUGUUGCUAUUUUUGGUAUAGCAUUUUCUG
Molecule: transfer RNA, 69 nt
Filed under: Phasianella australis
Lineage: Eukaryota; Metazoa; Mollusca; Gastropoda; Trochida; Phasianellidae
Description: tRNA-Asp
Source: RNAcentral